Molecule: ribosomal RNA, 406 nt
Filed under: uncultured bacterium
Lineage: Bacteria
Description: partial 16S ribosomal RNA
Rfam family: Bacterial small subunit ribosomal RNA
Source: RNAcentral
AUUGAACGCUGGCGGCAGGCCUAACACAUGCAAGUCGAGCGAGCGGCGGACGGGUGAGUAAUGUAUGGGGAUCUGCCCGAUAGAGGGGGAUAACUACUGGAAACGGUGGCUAAUACCGCAUACUAUCGGAUGUACCCAUAUGGGAUUAGCUAGUGGGUGGGGUAAAGGCUCACCUAGGCGACGAUCCCUAGCUGGUCUUAGAGGAUGAUCAGCCACACUGGGACCGAGACACGGCCCAGACUCCUACGGGAGGCAGCAGUGGGGAAUUGUGCACAAUGGGCGCAAGCCUGAUGCAGCCAUGCCGCGUGUAUGAAGAAGGCCUUAGGGUUGUAAAGUACUUUCAGCGGGGAGGCGUUACCCGCAGAAGAAGCACCGGCUAACUCCGUGCCAGCAGCCGCGGUAAUAC